CAAACGCUGUGCUCACUUGCAUCUGUGGGAUUUUGCUGGUGAUCCUUCCCUGUUUAUCUGAGAUAAAGGAAUUGAAGAACCAGGAAGUGAAGGCACAUUGCCACAUCAUACAGUGGGCAAAUGCUGGAACAAGGAGAAACACACGCACAAAAGAGAAAGGAAGUUUUCUGGCUCUGAGCGCAUCUUCCAGAAUGGGAC
Cercocebus atys (sooty mangabey) is the source of this 198-nucleotide long non-coding RNA. RefSeq lists it as uncharacterized. Lineage: Eukaryota; Metazoa; Chordata; Mammalia; Primates; Cercopithecidae. The record is from RefSeq and is a predicted model, not a curated record. The transcript is spliced from 3 exons.